GGUAAAGUGGUCGAGAAUAGGCAGUAAAUUGUAAAUUUACUUACGGGGUAUCCCCUUUAUCA
This 62-nucleotide transfer RNA is filed under the name Hypothenemus sp. BMNH 1040003. RNAcentral describes it as "tRNA-Tyr". RNAcentral also lists the same sequence under 1 other name. Lineage: Eukaryota; Metazoa; Arthropoda; Insecta; Coleoptera; Curculionidae. The record is from RNAcentral.